GUGUACAUUCUUCUUUGUGGAUAUAUAUCAUCAUGAUUGUCUUCUACUUAGAAUCUUUUACACAUGAGAGAAGUUACAUCUCUAAUUGAUAUCCUCUUUUCCUUUACGUCCACCGUUGCAUUUCCUUUUUCAGUUUUUGGUGGCUUCGUGAAAGGAUUUGUCUUGAGUGCGUAUCUUAUUUUCCUACAUCUUGAUGCACUCUUUGGCCGUGAAGAUUAUUUUUCCUCAUGCCUGUCUUGAUGAGGGUUUUGCCAUUUCGACUGGUAUCCCUCCUCUCUUGACAAGGUUCUUAUUUCCUAUCUUCACCAUGGGUUGUCACAAGCGUUGGUUCUUAUUUUGUUUAUUAGUAAGCUUGUGAACCCAUUUUCUAGUAGGUGUGUGUGGGAAUGAUAUGUCUUGCACUUUGUGUCUCAUUUCAUCAAGACUAUGUUGAUGAGUAAUGUUCAUCCUUAUCUUAGUCUUCUCAAGUGCCUUGCCAUGACUCACACACAUUAUUUUGGUUGAGCCUAAUCUUAAGUUGCUUCUUUUACAUGUUGCUCAACCACUUGUUUUGUGCAAGAGAUUUGCUUAUUGUCUCAUCUUUCUUCUUGCACCCGUUGUGUGUUUUUAUUAAUUUUAGGGGGAGCAACGAUCCUAUUUUGUGCACUUGUAUCAUAUACCAAAAUCUCCUAUUAGUGCACAAAUCAUGGGGAGCUUCUCUAGUUUUGAUAAAACACUCCGUUUCUUUUAUCAUAAUAUCUUUUAUUCAUGUGGUUCGAAGGACCAUAUGAUUGUUUGUUCCAUCCGGUAUCUUUUGAUUGCUUGCCUCUAUUGUGGUAUGUCCUUGUGGCAUACGAUUCUUUUAUUUGUAAUCUUUGGGUCCUCAAUAUAGUUUGUUUUCCUCCAACUACUUAUCAUUGUAUUUGUGUAUUUCUUGGCACUCAUUUGCUGAGAAGUACACACUUUUUGGAGGACCACCAAAUAUAUUGGCUUUCUAAACUUUUCGUCCAUUUUGGCAAUCGAUGCCAAUGGGGAGAAGUUUAGAGAGUUUACUUUGGAUAUGUUUAGAGGGGUUUGCUUUUAUUGCGUAAGCAUUUACAUCUUGCAAGCAUGCAUUAUUGCUUUGUAUGUGUGCGGUUGGUUAUGCUUAGUUAUGCUUAUUUCCUUAUAUAAACUCUCUUGAAGUAGUUGUCAUCAAUUACCAAAAUGGGGGAGAWUGUUAGAGCAUAUAUCUCCAUAUGUGGUUUUGGUAAUUGAUGACAAUUCCUAUGGACUAAUGGUUGCCUUAAGUUAUAUUUAUAGGAUUUGUCCAUAGGCACUUCUUGAAGUCCAUCUGUUGGGNNNNNNNNNNNNNNNNNNNNNNNNNNNNNNNNNNNNNNNNNNNNNNNNNNNNNNNNNNNNNNNNNNNNNNNNNNNNNNNNNNNNNNNNNNNNNNNNNNNNGCAUGCCAUCGCCGCUCUGGUUGACCGAACGGUCCCUGCAGGCCUGUCGCUGCAGGCUGGCGAUGCCACGGCCUGCGCGCGCUAGGCUGGUGGUGCCGGUAGUCGACCUCUCGCUGAUGUAUCGAGGUCCCCAGAUUGCGGUUUGAAUGUCAGGGGCUUGAACUCGCGUGCUAGGCGCUGUGCUAUUCGCUCGCUGAUAUGUACCACCCGUGCAUCCAUUGUAUGCCUCCAGGAAACUAAAAUGGAGUUGGCCUGCUCGUCGAUUGUGUUAGACACCCGUUGGGUCCGAGUUUGAUCCCGGUUNUACAUAUCUCCCGCCGAUGGCACUCAUCGCUUGGAAGAGUAGGGCUGUCUCUGUAUCCGACCCCCUACUUCACCCAGAAUGCGAUCACGGUUAAGGUGUGUGCGCCCAGCCGUGCCCCGUGGUUGCUGACCAUGGUGUAUGCCCCCCAAAGUGACCCCGAUAAGCUCCUGUUCCUGCAAGAGCUGCAGGACAUCCGGGCUGCUUGCCCUGGUCCUUGGAUGCUAUGCGGCGACUUCAACCUCAUCUACCAUGACGCGGACAAGAGCUCCGGUAAUCUGAAUCGCCGCAUGAUGGGAAGGUUCCGUCGUGCCAUCAACGACCUUGCCCUGAAGGAGGUAUACCUAAAUGGGCGCCGCUUCACCUGGUCUAACGAGCAAUCUCAGCCGACGCUUGUGCACCUCGAUCGAGUUCUCUGCACCGCGGACUGGGAGGAUUACCACAGGGAGUGCCACCUCUGAUGCCUUGCAUCCGUCGUGUCCGAUCAUUGCCUCCUACUGCUGGAUUGCUCCCCCAUGCCCACGGCCCACAGACGCUUCCGCUUCGAGGCCUUCUAGCUCCGCCUUGACGGAUUCCACGCCGCGGCCUGGAGCUCCGUGCAUGACCCCGACCCCUUCCAGAGGUUGGUCCGACGUUUGCAGGCUACUGCCCGCGCCCUUACGAGCUGGAGCGCUAGGUCCACGGGCAACGUUCGGGACAAAUUGGCCAUAUCCCGCGAGCUGAUCGCCCGCUUCGACCACGCAAUGGAGAGCCGUCUGCUCUCCCUGGCUGAGGACUGGCUGCGCAAGCAGCUCAAGGUGGCGUACCUUGGGCUGGCCUCCCUUGAGCGCACCAUCGCGCGACAGCGCGCCCGCAUCUCCUUCCUGGCCGAGGGCGACGCCAACACGAGCUUCUUUCACAGGCAGUGUACGUUCAGGCGCCAGAAGAACCGCGUGCAUAGCCCUCCUAGUUGACGGGCAUGUGCUAUGCGACCAUGAGGAGAUGGACCAAGCGGCAUUCGCGCACUUCGACGGGUUGCAGGGCACCGCCGUGGACCGUGAGCACACUCUGGAUCUCGAGCAGCUUGUCACGGCCAGUGACCUUGGCAGCCUGGAUGCACCCUUCACCCCUGAUGAGAUUUGGGCUGCGGUGCAGCGUAUGCCGGCGCACAAGGCACCAGGGCCAGACGGGUUCACCGCAAAGUUCUUGCGGGCCUGUUGGAGCACUAUCAGGCAGGACAUCCUGGAUGUCUUCGAGCAGUUAUUCCUGCUUCGUGGGAGAGGGUUUGGUAAACUCAACCAAGCCCUCCUGACCCUGCUGCCAAAGCGCGCGGAUGCACAUAAGCUGGGUGACUACCGGCCUAUUUGCCUGAUCCACAUUAUGGCCAAGUUAUCCGCGAAGGUUCUGUCGUUGCGCAUCGCCCCCAAGCUGGAUAGCCUAGUCAGCCGCAACCAGAACGCAUUCAUUGCCGGACGCUCCCUCCACGACAACUUCAUGCUCGUUCGGCAGUCCCUUCGGAUGCUUCACCACUUGGGCGCCCCGUGCAUCAUGCUCAAGCUUGAUCUCGCGCGGGCUUUUGACUCCAUAUCAUGGCCGUUCCUCUUCGAGAUGCUGCGCCAAUAUGGGUUUGGGGACAGGUUUAGGGAGUGGAUAGCCAUCCUCCUUUCCUCGUCUAGCACGCGGGUCAUGCUCAAUGGCGUGCCUGGCCCCUCGAUUUGGCACCGCCACGGGCUGCGCCAAGGGGACUCCACAUCGCCACAACUAUUUGUCCUCGCUGUCGACGCGCUGGGCCGCCUCAUGCAUCGGGCGCUCCAGACUGGCAUACUCCGGCGGCUCCACCGCCGCCGUACAGUUCUGACCGUCUCUUUAUACGUCGAUGACGUGAUGCAGUUNNNNNNNNNNNNNNNNNNNNNNNNNNNNNNNNNNNNNNNNNNNNNNNNNNNNNNNNNNNNNNNNNNNNNNNNNNNNNNNNNNNNNNNNNNNNNNNNNNNNUCAACACAGGCAGUGAACUACAGGUUGAUGGAAGUAGCAAAGCACCUUAUUGAUAUCCCCAUUUCGCUCCAAACAGGCUAGUCCAUGCUUUGUUGGAGACCAGACUUGCACAACCAACUCAGAAACAGGUCACAUUACCUCCUCUACCCCGUGGUGAACAUGCAAAAUGUGAAGCACGGUUAGAACUGCAAAGGAGAAAUGCCCAAGAAAACAAAGAUGUGUAGUGGGACAAUAAAAUACCUCAAACAUUGGUUAAGCCUGCCAAAAUGAACAUUCCUGAGUUUGAAGACACUCGUAGUGACUCUUAGAUAUAGACCAUUGAAAUGUACUUCGAGGAAGCUGGAACUCCUACUGAAAACAAGACGGAAAUUGCUCUCACUUACCUCAAGGGCGCAACCAUGGAAUGGUGGAGAGGCACUGGAAUUGUGGCAAACACUUUACCCUAGUAUAGGUUCUGCAGUUAUGUGGGAGAUAGAUUUGCUGAGACUUCCGUUUGUGAUAAUGUCAGAGCUUUUCAUGCUCUUACUGAGACUGGCAACCUCAAUGAUUACAUCCUCAAAUUUGAACAAAACAUGAAUCUCACGAGGAGAGACAACCCUUGUAAGGGAUCUCCUUAAUAUCUCACACACGAACUGGUAGUACUCUCAGAGAGGACUUAUACCACAGUAUCUAUUACAAGAAUUUGGUACACGAAUGAGAGGAAUGGGAGGAAUAGGGAAGAAACUGGAGGUAGGGGAAAGAGAGAGGAGCCGUCGCCGUUUCGUGCCGUGAUUGUAACACCCAAGAUUUUUUUAUUUCAUUUCUUUGACUUCUGAGUUGUUUUAAAAUGGAUUUAAAAUUUUGGCUUUGAUAAAACCCUGAAGUUUCUUUGGAAACCUUUUUAAGCAAAUCCUUUGAGCUUUUCUUUUUCAACAUGUCUGAAUUGAAAAGGACUUUGGUUGCCUCUUCUCAAAAUGAGUUGGUUGGAAAAAUAUAUUUAUUCUUUAACAAACCCUUGGGAUAAUUUCCAUAGUUUCUCUUGUCAAUCCCCCUUCUAUAUUUAUUUCUCAUCAUCCCUUGUGAUUUCUAUCCUAUGACACUUCUAUAACACCUAGGUUUUCAUUUUAUUUGACUUCUCAAAGUUUUAGAAGGGUUUAACAACCUUUCAAAAUUUAUUUCAAUUAAAAGCAUUUUAUGUAAUCAGUUUUGACUCGAGCAAAUUUUCAAAGGAACCCAUAGUUCCCUUGGGAAUUUGAGGCCCAAACUCCUAUACUUAGAACACCUUAGUACCCUCAACCCAUUUCACCAAAAACCUUGGGUUCACAAGUUUGAAAAAUUAAAAUUUGAUUUGACUCGUGUUUGACCAAAAUAUUCUGUUUUUAUUAAAAACUUGUAUUAAACAUUUUCAAAAAUUCUGAAAAAAUUACAGACAACCUCUGCACCCAAUGAGUGGUCAUAUCAUAAAUUUUCAGCUCCAAAAACCUUUUCCACAUGCUAGUUUCAUUUGAUCAAACACUUUGUGUGCACUCUUGCCCUAUCUGUGAAGCCGAUUCAGUCAAAUUCAGACUUCAGUGCUUCGCUGAUUCAGUCUGCCGCUUCGUCAAUCUCAGCAGUAUCAACGGGAAUAGCUCGCCCCUGUGCUCGUGCCUAUCCGCCAGCCGCACAUUCCUUUGGACGCUUGCUGGCGUUGGUGGUGAGAUGGCCUGAGCCAGCCAGCUCCGGCAGCAGCACCGGCAACACAUGUCGCGGCCACCACAGCCCCCUUGCUGCAGCCCCUCGCCGUUUCAGCACCGCCCAUCGCCCAUGUGAGCACUGCGUGUCCCUGGCCUUCAGUGCAUGCCACGUUUGCCGUCGCCACACCCCGUGCAGCGUAGAGCACGACCUCUGGUGCCACCGUGCGCACGGAAGGCCACACCGUCGAGCUGAGCAUUGCGCCGAUGGUUGAUCAACCUUUGACCAAAAAUGGAAUCCCUAUGCUGAGUAGGUACUCACCCAACCACCUAACCAUCUGAUUAAGCCCCUGGAUCAUGGGAAUUGAUCACCGGAGUUAAGCCCCGCGACACCCCUCUCGGACCUCUAUAAAUAAAGCCCCUCCGUUGUUGUUGAACCCCUCAUCCACUCCACCUCCUUCUCUCCUCACUCCGAAGCCUUGCCCAAGCCAGAGAAGGGCCUCGGNNNNNNNNNNNNNNNNNNNNNNNNNNNNNNNNNNNNNNNNNNNNNNNNNNNNNNNNNNNNNNNNNNNNNNNNNNNNNNNNNNNNNNNNNNNNNNNNNNNNAAGUAACUGCCGACAACAUCUGAUUAAAAGCCACUCGCAAACCAAGUAUGAGCUAGGAUUGCUCGGAACAAAUGUAUGACAGAGAUUCCAUUUGAUAUCUUCGUGGAUAAGAUCACACGGGCUCGAUCCUACAGUAGCCAUCAUGUACAAGGUAGUGCACACGACAUACGAAGUGUCCCCGGGUCGUAGCAAGUUACAAGGACUCUUUAAGACACAACGAGAACCACUGUAAGAUGACCGUGAACAAACGGAUCCACUGAAUGUCGAAUCCCAACCUCACAUCAAGCAUCUGCUGGAAGAAUGUCCUAUAAGUCACUACCUAAUUUCCCACCUAAGCACUCCCGAAAUUUCUGGUCAUGCAAUCUGGUCCACGGAUACAAGGAGUAAUAUAUCACUCAACUCCUAUACUAACCCGUACAAUGUAUCACAUCUAUCAACAGAUAACCAGAAUCUCGGAACUUCAUCUAUCUCAGACCCUCGUAAUCACAACGAUACUAAGUGUGGUGAUACAUCCGUAACUAUCUGCACCAGUACUGGGGAAGUCGUAGUCCUCUCGUCACUACUACUAUUGAAGCAAUUUGGAACAUCCUUCGUCCUGAGAUACUAAGAAAUCUGAAUGAUAGCGAUGUGCUCAAGAAUCCCCUGGAGUCAACUCCCCGGAAGAAAUCAAGUAAGAUAGGAGGCACCAAGACACAACUCCGUCACAUCACAUCAUAUAGAUUCCAAAAAUAUCCGCGUGAUCCUAAAAACUUUUUUGAGAAAGAAGAGGAGUAGGAUCAAAAUUUCCUAAGUCAUGAAUCUCAGCCAGAGCAUAGAAAUGGAGAAAAAGAAACCUACUCUACGAUAUAACUAAGACUCGAAAUAGUUUUUGCUAGACUCGACUCGGCCAAGUUCGAUCACACAAAGGCUCCUAUGGUCGUAAGGCUCUAAUACGAACAUGUAACAACUAAGAUGCGGCCCUUUCCUUAUUUGGGGGCGAGGCCUCAAAAGGGGAAAGAGGCGCAUCUACGCGUUUCGCAAGCAAGAUAAUCAUAUCAAAUAUAAAUAACUGAAAGAGUGACAAGUAGGGCAUACACUUGCCAUCUGAUAAGGUACAUAGCCAUACAGUCAUACAGUAUUCAAAACAUGGAAUGGUCCGAUUACGGACAUGAUAAAUGGCAAAAGCUAUGAUAUCCCACAUGCUAGGCCCAUGAUCACGACCACGACCUCUAGUCCUCGGGAUAAGUCACAUACAACUUGCCGCUGUCCUCAUCAAACUCCCACUUCAGCUGGCUGUCAUCAGGAACUCUUGCAUCUGAGUACCUAUACCUGUGGGUGUUUGUAGUAAACUAUGAUCCACGAGGACUCAGCAAUCUCAUGACCUUGGUAUCGAGUCUAACUAAGUUAAAUGGGUGAGGUAGGUUAAGUGUUUGAGUUUGCAGCAUCCUAAGCAUAUAUGGUGGCUAUCUUACGAUGAACAGAAUUAACAUAUGGUGGACUACAUAAGACGGUCGAAGACUAGGUUGAUCACUAAGUGAUCCUAAACACCUACUUACGUCAUUCAUAACCCCACCGUGUUCUCGAUCAGAGAAGGAGCUCUGAAAGAGAGUCACAGUUACGCACUCAGUUGGCAAGUUUUAUUUGAAUUACUUUAAUUUGUCUAGAACCGGAUGUUAACAAAAUAUCCAUGUUCGCCACAUAACCGCGAGCACGGCUUUCUGAAAUAUUAAACCCUGCAGGGGUGCUCCAACUAGUCCAUCACAAAUUACCACAGGCCGCAUAGUAAUCCUCUAUCACGAUAACUCAUGAUCUCGUCGGAUUCCUUAGAGCAAAACCUCAACUCUGAGAAGACCCAAAGUCUCACCGGAAUCCCAAUGCGCAAGAUAUAUCGCUAAGGUAAUACAAAUCUGGAAAGACCUCCCGAUGUGUUGACGAUCCCGAUAGGAGCUGCGUAUCUCGUUCUCAGGACAUGACCGGAUGAGCGCAUCGUAAAGUGGCCUGAUAGAGAUCUCCCGAGUUGCCCCGGGUUGGCCCCGCACACGACUCUAGUUUGGACCAACACUCAUGAGGAGCACUGGCCCGGGGGGGGGGGUUGAUUUAGAUUCCUCGGGGUAGCUAUUCCCUAUGCNNNNNNNNNNNNNNNNNNNNNNNNNNNNNNNNNNNNNNNNNNNNNNNNNNNNNNNNNNNNNNNNNNNNNNNNNNNNNNNNNNNNNNNNNNNNNNNNNNNNGGCUUGUGUCAAAAGGAAGAUCUCAUACAACCCAUGAAGGAUGACGUCAAGUGGUGAUCGUCAUCAAGAUUGUGGUGUGCAAGUUCAAGUGGAUCAGCACGAAUAUAUCAUUGAAACUAUUGUCAAUGAUCAUGUGCUAACAAGGACAAGAUCAAGAUAAGCAUUCCUGAGCACUACAUGCUUGAUUCUUGUGGAUGUUCACAUGGUGGAUAGGACAAGAUCAAGAUAAGCAUUCUUGAGCACUACAUGCUUGAUUCUUGUGGAUGUUCACACAUGGUGGACAAAUGAAGAUAAAUACAUAAGCUAGGCUUUCUGCAUUGUGUAUGGGAAAGCUACUUGAAGACUUCAUCAUGUCUUGCUUUCAACUUGAGCCAAGAAGGAACAACAACAUCAAGCUCAGGUGAAAGGGCUAACUCAAAGGUAUCAGUUCCUUUGACGUUAGUUGUGCGGAGUGAUGAUCAGCGAAUAAAAGUAUACACUCAAGUAUGGAUCAUCAGUACUCUUUUAUGAUUCUUGAGUCCUUAGGGAUCCCCCACUAUUAAGAGGGGAUCACAGGUUUUGCGAUGAACUUGCUCAAACUACAUCAUCACUUUCUGCUCAGACCACAUCUCCACUGUUUUGUUGUUAUCUAAAAACAGAACCAGUGCCUCGGACAUCCGGCUUUCUCUGGACGUCCGAGGACCGGACGACUGACUAGUUUGGAAAUCCGGAAUCCUAUACCAAAGAAAUCAGAGCCACAUAACUCGGACGUCCGGCUACCUCCGGACGUCCGAGACCCGGAUGUCCAGCCAAGUCCCGGAAAUCCGGAAGCCUGCACCAGUAGAAGUUGAGUUCUAUAUCUCGGAAAUCCGGCUCCCUCCGGACGACCGAGCGCCGGACGUCCGACACCCGUCGGAAAUCCGGAACCUACCACCAGUAGAAGUUGAGCUGUAUAACUCGGAUUUCCGGUCCUCUCCGGACGUCCGUAUGCUGAUAAAUUCAAAUAUGUUCAGGCACAUCUACAGGCCUCGGACGACCGACCCCUGUCGGACGUCCGGCCGCUGAUGAAUUCAGAAGAGUUCCAGUCAUGCCUAAAGGUCUCGGACAUCCGACCCUGGUCGGACGUCCGGUCCCUCGCGGACGCCCGGACUUCCGACAACUGUCGGACGUCCGGACCAUGUGUGACUUAAAGUGUCCCCAACGGCUCUUUUUCUCUCCACACUAUAAAUACCCCCCUCCCACUUUGUGAGAGGGUUGCCUAACACAGCCUUAUCCUCAUAAGAACACACUUCCACCUCACACACAUUUGCUCACUCCAAAUCUUAGAUCCCACGAGCAUUUGUGAGCCCCUUUGAGAGUUGUUCCAAUCAAUAGAUAGAUCUUCUCCCUCUCCUUCUCUCAACCCCAAGCUAUUUGUGAUUUGAGCUAGUUUUGAGCAUUCCCCGUGAUCUUGUUACUCUUGUGAGGUUGGAGAGGUUGGAGACUCCUAGGCGGUAGGAGUUCUUCGAAGAGGAAUCAAUCCGUGUGAUUUCCCCCUGAAAAGUUUGUGAGGGUUUGGAAGCCACCUCAAAGGCUUACCACUAGUGGUUGAGAAACGCCUUCGUGGUGUUAUCUCAAAGGGAGAAUAGGGUGAGCCUUCGUGGCGUUGGUGUGCCUUCGUGGUAACAUCCACCUCUCUAACGGUGACUAGCUUCCCUCCAAGGAAGUGAACAUCGRGAUACAUCUUCGUCUCAGUGACCUUGGUUAUCCUUAACCCUAACUCCUUACUUGUGGUUUACUUGUGUUAUUUGAGCAUACAUACAUUGCAUAUUGCUUGUGCUCAUUAUAUUGUGUUGGCCAUUUCUUGUACAAGAUUAAUCAUUCAAGCAUACCCUCUAUAUCCACACGUUCAUACUUGCAGCCCUUGAUAUAUCGUGUUGAUAUAGUGUGAUCUAGUAUCUUGUGUUGUUCACCUACUUGUCGUGUGAUAUAGCUCAAGUAAGUUUGUGUAACUUACUUGUGCUUGUUAGUAACUGUAUUGUGUCCAUCUUGGUAGAUCGUGUUGUUGAUACACGUUCUAGUGCCUAGUGCAUUUAGGAUUUGUGCUUGANNNNNNNNNNNNNNNNNNNNNNNNNNNNNNNNNNNNNNNNNNNNNNNNNNNNNNNNNNNNNNNNNNNNNNNNNNNNNNNNNNNNNNNNNNNNNNNNNNNNGGCAGCUAUUUAUAGCCUGGGAGCAUCCCGACAUGAUUUGACACUAAUGCCCUUAAAUAAUAUGAACGUUGGUGUGGAUAAGACCAAUGAUGUGGCGUGGCUAUCGAAACAGUCGGAACCCUCAACUGUUAGAGUCCUCAUGUCACUCAUAUUCCUCACUUGAGGCUUUUUGUAGGAUUAGGCUUGGGUUGAGCAUCAUGAGGAAAUUCAUUCCAAUGUGUUACCUCGACCCCCUUUAACUGUACGGUGUUCCUAUUACUCAAGUGUGAAGAAAACAAAACAUAAAGAGUAAAUCUUCAUGCUUCACAGUCUUCAGAAUGAUUUUCUUCAGGACACACCGAAUUCCUCAAUUUCAAUAUCUUCAUGAGGAAUAUCAAUUUCAUCGCAGAUUCUUCGCGAUUCAAUUCUUCAGCUUCAGACCAAUUUCUUCAACCGAAGAUAUACAUUUUUAGGGGKCKAUAUUCAUCGAAUAUUUCAAACUCCUCAGCGACUUAUAGAUCUUGUGUACACUCGAGAACACAUUAGAUACUUAACCUAUAAAGUCUUCAAACCACCAAAAAUCACUAAGGGGCACUAGAUGCACUUACAACACCGCAGAAAGGGCAUAAAUAAAUAACAAGCCGCAGUCGUGCGUCUUAGCAACACCACAGAAAGGGCAUAAAUAAAUAAAGGAUUAUUCGGGUGGUACAACCAAUCUUCAGGAUAAUCUUAGAACUAGGAUAUCAAUAGUAAGUUUUUCCACAACAUCGUCAGAUAUCCAUAACCAUCACCAUUAAACCAUACUUGUGCUCCAGGGACCGACUCUAAGACCGACACUUGACCUGUCAGACGACCGUCCUUUACCGUCGACAUGGCUACUCGAAUAACUACUCGAAUAGUUCUGACUCUACAGAGGGUGUACUCUUUACCCAUAGCUCACGGGUUUCGAUAGUCAAUAUGACUAGCCCCGGGAACGGUAUUCUAGAAGCAGACACUCAAAAUCAGCACACACCCAUUUUUACCCCCGCGAAGACCGGCUUCACCUGGACUACGCUGCCAGGGAACAACCAUAAGACGGCGAGGCUCCGACCUCGACUAUCAUGGGAUCAAAUUUAUACCACGUGCUACAAGGGAGUGCCCUCCCUCUCGGUCCCAGACCGGAAACACCCAUGCCCCCUGACCAGAUGACUGGAUUUAGUCCAGGGCCAUGGAUAUCUUCAUCCCGACCCUCUACUUGGUGUGUAACUGAUAAUAAGCCUAUGACCGACUAUAACGAAUCCUCUUUCAGGAAACUGUGGCAGCACGAUAAUGAAAGUAAGACACUGACAAGACUCGAUCUAGGUCGAUACUGGAGUUAUCACUUUCUUUCCAUCACUAUCAUGCACUUGUCAUGACCAGGCCACAACCUAUCAUGUUCCGCGUGACUCGGUUAACCACGACCUCUCACAACCAUAAAUUGCCAUAGCCAUAUUUUAACUUUGUUUAUGAGGGAUGCAAUAUGAUUGAUUAAUGCAAUGGAUUUAUAUUAAAUUUGUUAGUGAGCAAGCAACACAUCAAAAGUUCAAACAUGCUUGCUUGGUUCCACGUAGUCGGGAUCGAGCUCGGUGAAGUUAGCGUCGGUGUUUCCUUCGUCGGAAUCUACGUCAUACAACAUAUACCAUCGUAAGAGCUAAGUCCUACCUACUGCCUCCACGCAAUUUUCUAAUAAAUAUGAAAAUAAACUACACCCUCAGAGAAAGAUUUUGCAAAAAGAAUCAAGUAAAAAGCUUUUGUAGGUUUAAAGUUAUUAGCAAAACAAGAUCAGGGACCAUUCUAUAAUAAAACAUAGUAUGUCCAGGGGCUAGUCUGAGGAAACUCAAAGCGUCCGAAGGGGGUAUGCGUCAACCAGUAGCAAAGACAACUUCUGGAGAAGGCGCUUUCAAAGAAAACGCUUACAAAAAAGAAAAGAACCCUGACGAGGGGGUCCCACCCUGUCAGGUUCGAAUCUCACCGGCGCCAGAGGCGUGCGGUGGUCGCCGAUGGCGAUAGACGAAGGGAGAGAGCAAGCCGAUGGCANNNNNNNNNNNNNNNNNNNNNNNNNNNNNNNNNNNNNNNNNNNNNNNNNNNNNNNNNNNNNNNNNNNNNNNNNNNNNNNNNNNNNNNNNNNNNNNNNNNNGCAAGGAUGCAAAUGGUUUGAGAUCUCAACGAACUAUACGAUCAAGCUACUCACUUGAGAGCCCCCCUUGACAGUACGACAAUCUGUCCUAAAACAGAAAACCUAUAAAGGGAAAACCUAUGCCUUGCACCUCAUCCUCUUGAGCUAGAUGACUAUGAUCUUGGCUUCCUCAAGAUGGACCACCUUUCAUGCUUGCGUUGGCUUGAUGAAGACUAGUUCAUUGCUCCCCGAUACACACUAUGGGUGAGCCGCUCUUCAGCAUAUCUUCACAAGUCCAUUGCCACCAUCCUCCACCACUUGACGUCAUCCUCCAUGAGUUUUAUGAGAUCUUCCUCUUGACGCAAGCCCAUGGAAACACACCUAACCCCACAUAGAACUCUCAAGAAGACCAUGGGUUAGUACACAAAUACGUACUGGACAAUGCUUACCAUACCAUGGGAUCACUCGAUCCCUCUCGGUACAUCUUGUACGCUUUGUGUGUUGAYCAUCUUGAUUUACUCUUUGUCUGACGAUCUUGAUCAACCUUGUGUCUCUAUGACCAUUCUUUGGAUAAUACCUUGAAUACCACCUUGGUCAUCAUAUAAAUACCUUGAACCCAACAGAUGGACUUCAAGAAGUGCCUAUGGACAAAUUCUAUAAAUAUAAGUCAAGGCAACCAUUAGUCCAUAACAAUUUUCAUCAAUUACCAAAACCACAUAUGGAGAUAUAUGCUCUAACAGCUAUGUUGCACAACAUGACCUUGAUCUAUCCAAGCAAUCAGUGAGUCAAUUUGUCACAUCUAUUGACGUUGAUGUGGUUCUCUCUUUCAACGGUGCACCUACCAAGCUCAGCAUCAAUAUUAGGCUCUCCACAUUGAGAAAAUGUCCAAAGUGUCACACGGACGGACAUGAUAUAGUGGUAAUGGGAAAACUCUACGACUCGUAAUAAAGGGGGCACGUCGACAUCAGAGUAAUGUGACAUGACAAGUACUACUGCACACCAAGCGUCAGAGUGAGGCUUGACGAUUUAUUCGAGAUGAUGGAAGCGAUGAAAUAAUACAGCGGCGGACUCCAAGAUAGUAAGACUGACUGGGACUCCUCUAGACGUUGGACUCGCUAUCGAACUCUUCAUCCAUGAGAUCUCCUUCAUGCAUAUCUGGCCACAUCAACAAGCCAGUAAGUACUUUGAAAAGUACUCGCAAACAAUUUGCACAAUAUAUGAGAUGCAUGCAACGAUUAUUUAAUGUGCAUGGUUCAUAUCAUAAUUAAUCAUAAUAAAGAUGUUGGUAGCCAUUAAGUUAGUGGAUAAGUCGGGUGGUAAUUCUUCCGAAAUAUCCAAAAAGAAAAAAAAUGCACCGAUCGGGUUUCUGGAGCGACGCCUUGAAAGGAUAACAGGGAAAUAAGUUACCACCGUCGGACGUCUAAGCGACACCUCAUACAGGGCAUCAAAUAAAUAAAAAACCGCAGUCGGACGUCUUAGCGACACCGCACAAAGGGCACAAAAUAAAUAACAAGCCGCAGUCGGGUGUCUUAGUGACACCACAAGAAGGGUAUAAAAUAAAUAACAAGCUGCAACCGAGCGUGUUAGCGACACCACAGAAAGGGCAUAAAAUAAAUAACAAGCCGCAGUCGGGCGUCUUACCGACACGUGAAAGUGCGUUAUAUCGACUAGAGGGGGGUGAAUAGGAGAUUUUUAGAAUUUCAUCACUGAGGAAAUUCCUUUUGAGGAAAUUCCUCACUGAUGACUAACUUACAGCGGAAACAGUAAAGGAUCAGGAGUGCAAAGUUUCACUACAUUAGUUCUUCAGUAUGAAGAAUGUGAAAAACAGAUUGCGCAGUAAGCAGGCACGCAGAAAACAGAUGAGGAUUAACUUGCAUGAAGAAUUUGGGGUUGAGGAAUUUCAGAGAAAGUCUUCAGCAAAUUCUUCAAACAGUGACAGUGAAAAUCAUCAACACAUAAUCUGAGGAAUAGAAAGAGUUGAGGAAUUAGAACCCGUUUCACAGCAAAGACAGUAGUUGAUGACCUAGUUNNNNNNNNNNNNNNNNNNNNNNNNNNNNNNNNNNNNNNNNNNNNNNNNNNNNNNNNNNNNNNNNNNNNNNNNNNNNNNNNNNNNNNNNNNNNNNNNNNNNAGUGAGUCCAUCCUCUUUUGCCUACUCCAUGUAUGAAGCAAACUCCUUUUCAAAAAAUAAAAAUCUAGGAAGCAAACUGAGCUGCAGAUUGAGCUAGUUAUUGGCAUUAGUACUUUCUGAUUGCUGUGAAAUUUCUUCGUAGGUGGAUCUCAGCACUAUGCUCGAGGAGGCAGUCCUCUACGUCAAGUUUUUGAAGCUACAGAUCAAGGUAAAUCCAAAUGACAUGGUUGCAUUAGACCUUUUAUCCCCUAGGAACUCGGUGUGUGAUCGUGAUGUGUCUUACAAGAAAUUUUGUUCAUGAUUUCAUGGUGAUGAAUUCUGUAAUAGUUUGCUGCUGCAAUACCUACUUUUCUGUAGAUUGGGUCUUAUUUAAACUGAACAUGAGAAUUCUACUGUGUUAUUAUAUCCUCGCACUACGGUACUAGUAUUAGAAUUAUGCUGACUGAAUAAUAUCUCGAAUAGAACAUGAGUUACGCUGCAUUAUUUAGUCCCUAAAUUAAUACAUAAGAAAGAAGGACUUGAAUUUAUGCUAGUACUCCUACCAAAGUUUGUAUUCCUGUUUUUGUUAUCGUUCUGGGCCAGUCGGUGCCUGCUGAAGCUUACUGAAUGUAUCUCUUGUUCUGGACCAGUUUUGGUUUUGUAAAGCAAAAAAAAAUAUGUAUAGAGCAGCACACAUUUGUUCCUUAGUCGUCACCACUCACAUUUUCUCAACAAACCUUACGAUAUUGCAAGUGUCUAAUAUGCAUCUCGGGGGACCUGUUCCUGCAACCAAUUUCGAACAAGUAUGUAUAGUCACCAAUUAAGUUUGUUUAUGGGAUUUAUUAUUUUUGGGCACCUCGCCUGGAAUCUUGGACGGUAUGUGCGUGUAUCCACCAUAGUUGGAAAUGAACUUCUACGAAAUUGGCGCAGGUUGUGAUGACCUAUCCGGAUCGGGCCGUAGAGCCGAGCCACUCAGGAGUAGCAGGGUUGCGCGUGGAAAAAAGUAUCAUCGCUUCAACACAUCUGCUCACAAUGUGUGCGUUCCUCUGUUGAUGAUAUGUAUAUAAGUGACAAGAAUUCGUUGCCACUGUGUUGUAUGUAUUCCUUUGUCUAGAUGAUUGGGCAGUGGGAGUUGUGCAUAGUAGCAUACAGUAUUUUUCCUUUUCCUAAUCCAUCGCAAGGAGCUUCAUAUUAAGUUUGUUGUUAGCUUCCCCAGGAAAAAAAAGUUUGUUGUUAGCUUCCCCAGGAAAAAAAAAGUUUGUUGUUAGCUGUAGCCUGCUUCAAGUGUGUAUAGAUUCAUGUAUCAAGUUUCUUCAGAUGUUCAUAGACUACUGGAUGUAGAUUUCUUACCAAGUGAUCAUCUUGGUAAGCUACCAACAAAAAUUGCAAUCAAGGAUGUAUAUUUCUUAAUACUCAUCAUGUUAUAAUACUCCUAGCUUUGCCACUUUGAAGACAUUUCAUAAAACCGGGCCUUAACCACUUUGGAUGUGGGUUUAUGCCAUUUCUGUUUGGUAGGAGUUUGUUAGCUAUAUGCACUAAAAUUAUGUCAGCUGGCGACGCCUCUGCAUUGUCGUCGACUGAAUUAGGGGAGCAGCAUGCGACGAUUCUAGCGUUAGCAUUGGGCAUGCGCUGGUUCAGACUUAGGAGAGGUUCAGACUGCAGUGCGGUUUAGACUUAGGAGAGGUUCAGACUGCGGUGCUACACAACUGCGUGAACAGCCCUUCUGCAGGUAUGCAAGCUCAUCCUCUUCUCUUAUUUCAUACUGAUGCAUAGGAGAGGUACCAAUCUGGAGAUUGGUUUCUCGAUCAAGGGAAUGACUAGAACAUCUAUUUUGGGAGUGAUGACUUCCAGAUUUACCUUUGUUAUGUUAACUGUAUGGGAUCUUGACCCAAAUUUCCAUAAAUAUACACUUGCUAUGUUAACUGUAUAGUGUUGACCCAAAGUUGGAAACUUUUCUUAGUCGUAUGUUGGAUGGCCAGAUCUAUGAAAACUUGCAGAUUCACCUUUGCUAUUUGGAGUGAAUUNNNNNNNNNNNNNNNNNNNNNNNNNNNNNNNNNNNNNNNNNNNNNNNNNNNNNNNNNNNNNNNNNNNNNNNNNNNNNNNNNNNNNNNNNNNNNNNNNNNNUAAGGAAAUAAGCAUAACCAAGCGCACAAAUACAAAGCAAUAAUGCAUGCGAGCAAGAUGUAAAUGCUUACGCAAUAAAAGCAAAACCCUUUAAACAUAUCCAAAGUAAACUCUCUAAACUUCUCCCCAUUGGCAUCGAUUGCGAAAAUCACUACAAGAAAUAUGCUCAUACAUGAUGUUUUUUUAAGACGUCGUUGAUAGAAUUCGUCAUAAAUCUAUGACGAUUUCAUCCGAGAUUGUCGUAAACCGUUUGAGGGGAUCAAAUCUACAUAUAAAUUAUGACGAUGUGAGUCAAAAACGUCGUAACCACAUAAGAUGAGAUCGUCAUAACUUCUACGAUGAUUAUAAAAAUGUCGUAACAUGUUCUAACUAUGUUGACAUGUCACUCGUGGGUCCAUUAUAUCCCACCUCAUGCAUGUAUUGAACUAUUUUUUUAUACCACUAUUCUGUUGGGCUAUUAUUUUCAUCUUACUUUUAUAUUGGGUUGGUAUUUUAUCCUCCAUGCUUGCUAAUGGGUUGGUUUGUGGUAUGUCAUAAUAUUUUAUAUUGUAAAUAAUAUAUUGUCUAAUAUUUUUUUAAAUGAGUUGCUACAUUUUUACAAGAAAGAUUUGGUAGGUACUUUACAAAAAACCUAUUUUCUCGCACUUCGAAAAUAGAAAAUGAUUUUUUUGUGCAAACAAAAUAUAAAAUCUCUUUGACAACGUUGUUUGUCAUACUAAGAUACACACAUGUGGACAAUAUUGGGUCCUUGUAACAAACUAUAAGAGGAUAAAAUAUAAGAGAAUCAAACAAACAAAAAAAAGUUUAUAUAAGCUUAAUUCUGAUUGGUGGAAUCUGCUAUAGUCUAAAGAAUAUGAAAUUUGACAUGGUAUUGGUUCAUCAUUUCUAGAAUGUGUGAAAAAAUAUUUGAGAAAAAUUACUAAAUAUUAACAUGUUUAUUUUAUCAAAAGUAAUAGGUAAAUAAACAUAAUUUUAUUUGCAGAUUUCCUAUUGGCUAAAACCUCCUUCCCCCGGAUCGAUGACGUGGCAGGGCAGUCAGUCCCACUUUAGCUGAUCUGAACCGUUAAAGCCAACAAAUCGAACGUGUCUCAAUGAAUCCAAACGCUGCGCGCAGAAAAAAAAAACCCGCAAACCCUAUCCUCGUCCUACCAGACCGAUCCACCCCUCCCCUCGUCUCGUCUCUCCAGAUCCGGUCCACCCCGCCUCCGUCUCCCACCCACCGCCGCCACCCCACCCACCUCUCAUGGAUGGAACAAGCCCCGGUGGCGAGCGACCCCAACACCGGUGGUGGCUGCCGGCGCCACCUCCCUCUCCUCCCUGGUUGGAGAUCCACCUCCCGAUUCCACCUUCUCCUGACGAACCCCCAAGCCCAGGGGCGUCCGACCGCGAUGGUGAGGGAGCUGCGCAUCAACACCACGCCCUCCCCCCGUGCGUGCUCCGCCUCCUCUGCUCCGCGCGCGGCUCACGCCAAUGUUGUGCCACCUCCGGUCGAACCUGCCCCCGCGCUGCUCCUUUGACCUCCCGUAAAAAAAGCCUCGAGGGCUCCAGAUAUAUCCCACCUAAUCCCCCCCCGUCCCACCCCGUCCCUGUCCCCUGCCGGUUUCUGCACAGUCCGAGAAUUCAAGAACGUCCCGGCAGCGCCAACUCCCAACUCCCCGCAAGGCACAAGGCAGUGCACUCCGGAGCACGGACAAACAGGGCCGAUCGAGCGAUGGAGGAGGAGAGGAGAGGAGAGGGGCCCGGAUGAAGAGCUCCCCUGCCAUGGACCCUGAGGCCGCGGUCGCCCGGGGCACCCCGCUGGAGAACACGGUAUGCCCGCCGGAGUUACGUUUCUCGCGGUUCUUGACAACCUCGAUCGCCUUGCCGCCCUUCGUCUUGGCUGAAUGUGUGUUUUUUUCUUUUUCUGAUGAUGUUUGUCGCACNNNNNNNNNNNNNNNNNNNNNNNNNNNNNNNNNNNNNNNNNNNNNNNNNNNNNNNNNNNNNNNNNNNNNNNNNNNNNNNNNNNNNNNNNNNNNNNNNNNNUCAGGGGGCCCGCCACUACUGCGGCCGAUCCCACGCCUCGUCGAGAUCGUGGCCAGCCACGACCGGCUCCUGCAAAGCAACGAGAUGGGAUGAUCCCCCCUGUCCCUCUUGCAACCCUGUCUGGACCGAAGGGGGCGAGGAUCACCUUUGCCCCCCUGCCCCGUCGCAGACUCACCCUGCCCUGCCGCAGCAGGCCCACGCGCGCACCCACGACGGGGAGGCGGGACGCGAUCCGCCCGCUCCCGCCAAAUCGGCCUCACCAGCCCAGUCCCCACCGGUCACCCCGGGGCCCGCGGAGAGCGGUGUUGCCAUUCCUGCCCCUGCUCCCGCACAAGCUGACCUGGCUGGGCACGCUGCUGUUGCGGCAUGUGCUGCUGUGACUGGGACCAGGCCCCGGAAUAUCGUUGCCCCUGGGGCUGCGCCUGUCGAUGCACCCGCGCUGGAUGCCAUGUCUGCCGGGGAGAACGGGACCGCGACAUCCAUGGAGGCCCCGACCCAGCCGCGCGUGGAGCCGGGCUCAUCCCCCUGCCCAGGGCGCCUCUCGAUUCUGCAGAGACCCUCGCUCAGGCAGGAAUCCCUACCCUGCGCUGUUAGCACCCGUGCUCUGGUCCCAGGGCGCUUCGCCUCGCUGCCGAUCACCCUGCAGCGACGGCGCAACUGCCACGCCUCCAGCCAACCUUGGACUUUGGGUGCCUUCCUCUCCGCGGCUACCAAACAACUCGAUACUGUUCUGCCCUCUCCCGGGAAGCGGCAGCGCCCCACGCUCAACUUCAGUCCCAGGAGGGGUCGCUCCGCAGCCGCCGACGCCAAAGUCACGGCUCCUGGCGCAUCAGAUCGACGAGCGGUGGUGCAGAUUCUGCGCACUCUUGGAAUUGUGGGGGUGAACCAGCAGAUUACUGCCAUCGAGAUGAAGGCCUACGACAACAUGUUCGCCAUGCCGCUGAGGCUUCCAGUGCUGCAGGCCAUGGCCGCCUUGGUCGACCGAGCUAUCCCUGCUGACAUGGCUCCGCCGGCGGGUGAUGCCAUGGUCAGUGCGCGCUAGGCCAACGGCGACUGUUGUCGAUCUCUCUCCCAUGUAUCCAGGUCCUCAGAUAGCCGUCUGGAAUGUUAGGGGAUUAAACUCGCGCGCUAGGCGCUGCGCGAUCCGCUCUCUGCUAUGUACUACUCAGGCAUCCAUUGUAUGUCUUCAGGAAACGAAAAUGGAGUUGAUUUGCUCGUCGACUGUGUUGGACACCCUCGGGUCCGAGUUCGAUGGCUCCACCUAUCUCCCGGCCGACGGCACCCGCGGCGGCAUCCUCAUCGCUUGGAUAACUAGGGCUGUCACCAUUUCCGACCCCCUAUUUACCCAAAACGCGAUCACGGUCAAGGUGCGCGCGCCCGAUGGCCCCCCGUGGUGGCUUACCAUGGUGUAUGGCCCCCAAGGCGAGCCCGAGAAGCUGCUGUUCCUGCAAGAGUUGCGGGACAUUCCGCUGCAUGCCAGGGCCCAGGAUGCUAUGUGGCGAUUUCAACCUCAUCUACCGGGAUGCUGACAAGAGUUCGGGCAACCUGAAUCGCCGCAUGAUGGGCAGAUUCCGGCGCGCCAUCAAUGACCUUGACUUGAAGGAAGUCUACCUCAACGGGCGCCGCUUUACUUGGUCCAACGAGCAAUCGCCGCCGACGCUUGUGCACCUUGACCGGGUUCUAUGCACCUCGGAGUGGGAGGACUACCAUGGGGAGUGCCACCUCCGUUGCCUCGCAUCCGUCGUGUCCGACCACUGCCCGCUGUUAUUGGACUGCUCUCCUAUGCCCGUGGCCCAUAGGUGCUUCCGCUUCGAGGAAUUCUGGCUCCGCCUCGACGGGUUCCACGACACCGUCGCCACGGCCUGGAGUUCGGUGCAUGACCCCGACCCCUUCCANNNNNNNNNNNNNNNNNNNNNNNNNNNNNNNNNNNNNNNNNNNNNNNNNNNNNNNNNNNNNNNNNNNNNNNNNNNNNNNNNNNNNNNNNNNNNNNNNNNNGAACAAGGUUCAACUAAACUUGUAGCAACUAAUCCCACUAGUGCCUAGAGACCGUAUUACGCAUCAGAACUACUUGGGACCAGCUAGAAUCAGCAUACAAAGAUCAAGAACAUGGUCACCAAGGUAGCAAAAAUACGCGGAGUAUAAGGCUCUAGAGCAAAAACUAAUUGGACCAAUGGAGGAGUCACUUACCAAGGAGUAAUUUCCCCAAAACAGUUCGGAGAAUGGUGAUUUGAGCAAAGAGAUCGAAAAUCCCAGCAAGAGGAGCAAGAACACGGGUUUGAGCUGCGAAACGAUUUUUUUUCUGGAGGUAGGAGAACUGGAUGGGAGCAAGAAUGAGUGGAGGGGGUGCCUGUGGGCCCCACAAGCCUGGGUGGCGCGGCCAGGGGGGUGCCCGCACCCCUAGGGCUUGUGGCCCACUGGUGUGGCCCCCAGACAGACUCUUUGUCCCAGUAUUUUGCAAAUAUUCCAGAAAAAACCAAACUUGAUUUUCACAGCGUUCGGAGAACUUUAAUUUUCGGGGUACUUUUCUAACGGACGCUAAGACAGAAAACAGGGAAAACUAAACUAAAUCUAUCAUUUUUCUUCUAAGCAACCGAAGUUGAAAGCUUGGAACAGAGGUUUGUGACUCCUUGAUUCAUCCAUCUCAUGGUCAUCGAAAGAAAUCCGUCAAUGGGGUUGAUCAAAUCCCCUCGACAAAACUUUCCCGAAUCACAAAAGAGAACGGAGAAUUUUCGAAUAGUCACUAAGUCACCUCAAUGGGGAUGUGUAUCUCCCCAACAAGCAAAUUAUACUUCAUCUUGACACGAGGAAUAGGGCAUUCAAAGCUCCCGAUGAGAAUCGAUGAAGUUUUUUCGAUAGCAUUGAUGCAAUGUACUCGGUCUUGUUUCUUCGGAAAGUGCACCGUAUGCUCAUUACCGUUGACAUGGAAAGUGACAUUGCCUUUGUUGCAAUCUAUAACAGCCCCUGCAGUGUUUAAAAAGGGUCUUCCGAGGAUGAUAGCCAUGGCAUCAUCCUCGGGAAUAUCCAAGAUAACAAAGUCUGUUAAGAUAGUGGUGUUAGCAACCACAACAUGCACAUCCUCGCAAAUGUCGAUAGGGAAAGCAGUUGAUUUGUCGGCCAUUUGCAAAGAGAUUUUAGUGGGUGUCAACUUAUCCAGUUCAAGUCUACGAUAAAGAGAGAGAGGCAUAACACUAACACCGGCUCCAAGGUCGCAUAACGCAGUUCUCACGUAGUUGCCUUUAAUGGAGCAAGGUAUAGUGGGCACACCAGGAUCACCUAGUUUCUUAGGAGUUCCACCCUUGAAAGUGUAAUUGGCAAGCAUGGCGGAGAUCUCAAGAUGAGGUAUCCUCCUCUUAUUAGUCACAAUAUCUUUCAUGUACUUAGCAUACGGAGACAUCUUGAGCAUAUCUGUCAAACACAUCUACAGAAAGACAGGUCUGAUCAUCUCAACGAAUCGCUCAAAAUCCUCAUCAUCCUUUUUCUUGGAUGGUUUGGGAGGAAAGGGCAUAGGUUUCUGAACCCAAGGUCCCCUUUCUUUACCGUGCUUCCUAGCAGUGAUGUCAUUCUUAUCGUAUCUUCUAGUCUUAGGCUGUGGGUUAUCAAGAUCAACACUAGGUUCAAUCUCCACAUCCUUUUCAUUGCUAGGUUGAGCAUCUUUAUGAACAUCACUAUUGAUAUUAUCAUUAGGCUCAUGUUGAUCACCAUAUUGUGUUUCAGCAUCAGAGACAGAGGCAUCGUUUGGACUCUCAGGUGUAGCAGCAACAGGGUGGCUAGCUUGCAGGUUCCUAUCAUCUUUCUUCUUCUUUCUAGGAUGACUAGGUGCAUCAGUGCUAACUCCUUGAGANNNNNNNNNNNNNNNNNNNNNNNNNNNNNNNNNNNNNNNNNNNNNNNNNNNNNNNNNNNNNNNNNNNNNNNNNNNNNNNNNNNNNNNNNNNNNNNNNNNNGCGACGGCGCCCAACCGCCGGCGCCGGCGUCCCCAGCCACGCCGGCCGCACUUCCACUCCUACAACCUACGUUCGAGACCUGGUAGAACCCUAGCCUCUACCAAUAUGUUGUUGGGUCAAGCCGCUGUUGCACUAGACACGCAAGUACCCAUUGCUCUCGGAUUCAUUUGGUGGGGCUGCAAGUAGAGAGAUCGCAUUUCAGAAUUUCAUUUUGCCAUCAUACAGAAUGGCACAAGACUGGACCAGUAACUUCUGGUUCUGGGAGUGGAUACAGAGAAAAACUUAUGAGGACCAGAAACAUAAAGAGAGAAACACCCAUCAUCCACGCCUCUCCUCGGCUCACUCUUCUCUGUCAGACAGGUGAGCUCAUGCUUCCUCUAUUAGUAUCCUUUGAUUUUGUGCGGUGUUGUAACGUGUGCUUGUGUUUUUUGCUUUGUGGGCUACACUACUAGUACUGCAAGAUGUGUGUGAUGCUAGUUAUGUAUGUGUUCCGUGUUGUUGUGUGGUGCUGGUUUUGCCACUGCCAACUUGUCUACUGGUUGUCCUGACGCUGUGUGCUACUAGCUGCUGUUUGUUGGUUCUACUGCUGCUAUGUGCUAUUACCUGCUGCUGGUUGCUUCCUUAUUUUGUUAUUCGUGAAACUGAAAGCUCUUUGUGAGAAGCAAUGAAUGAAGCAUCAAAGUGCCUUUGUCAAAGGGUGUUCGAUUCAUGAUAACUUCAUGCUGGUCCAGUGCACUGCGAGGAAACUACACGUGUUGAAAGAGCCCAUGGUCAUGCUCAAACUGGAUAUUUCCAAGGCCUUCGAUUCGGUACGGUGGCCUUUCAUCCUUGAGGUGCUUCAAGCCAUGGGUUUCAGUGUCAGAUGGAGAGAGUGGAUUUGUGGACUUUUGGCAACUUCCUCUACGAGAAUGAUGGUGAAUGGGACUCCUGGAAGGCCGAUCCUUAACUGCCUUGGCCUAAGGCAAGGAGAUCCAGUGUCCCCGAUGAUCUUCAUCCUAAUCAUGGAACCGCUACACCGACUAUUUCAGAUUGCCGUGGACAGAGGAAUCCUAUCCCCUCUGGCAAGCUUGGGUGUCCUUCAGAGGCUUUCGAUGUUUGCGGAUGACGUGAUGAUUUUCUUGAAGCCAUGGGAUAAUGACCUCCAUGCUUGUGCUGCAUUGCUGAGGCUGUUUGGGGAGGUUUCUGGGUUGCGAGUCAAUCUGAGGAAGAGCGCUGCACUACCCAUCCGAUGUACCACGGAGACCAUGCUGGUGGUGGAUAUCCUGGGCUGUCCAGCGGGGACUUAUCCAUGCAAAUACUUGGGGUUGCCACUGACAUUACGAAAACAAACGGCUGCCCAGCUGAAAGGACUGGUGGACCAACUCGCAAAGUGUUUGCCUAAGUGGAAAGCAGCCAAUAUGCCAAAGAGUGGGAGGUUACUACUAGUCCAAUCGGUCCUAUGGGCAAUCCCAAUCCACGCAAUGAUGGCUCUUGACAUCCCGAUGGAAACACUCUUGGAAAUGGAGAAGAUCUGUAGGGGCUUCCUCUGGAGUGCUCAGGCCCAGGCCAAUGGUGGUCAGUGUAUGGUAGCAUGGACGAAAGUUUGCUCGCCCAAAUGGGCUGGUGGUUUGGGCAUACCGAACCUGCGAUGGUUAAAUCUGGCCAUCCAGGCUCGCUGGCCGUGGCUGCAACGUACGGAUGUGUCGAGACCUUGGGCGGAGUUUGAAAUCAGCGUGCCAAAGGAGUCUAUGCAACUGUUCAGAGCUGCGACAAGGACNNNNNNNNNNNNNNNNNNNNNNNNNNNNNNNNNNNNNNNNNNNNNNNNNNNNNNNNNNNNNNNNNNNNNNNNNNNNNNNNNNNNNNNNNNNNNNNNNNNNUGCUAGCACUAGAUAAAACACCAUGAUUAAAGGGUGAGACUUCUCUAGGCAGAGGUAAUGAGGAAAUGAAAUCGGUCAAAGUUUGUCGUAGCUCUCCCAAGGAUUUUUGUACCGAGUGACAAUUACUAUAGACAAUGUUCUCCGAAAUCCAGGAAUUCCUAUCAAUCAAGUUCUUUGUUCUGUUGCACGGUUUUAACAUCAAGCUGCAAGGAUCGAAAUUCGAGUGAUUGAGUGUUGGAUGAGUCAUUCUCUACACCCAUUCUGAGGACCAGAGGAGGAGGGUUUAAACGGGCAGUAAACCAUGCUACCUCGCUACCGGAGAUCAAGCAAGAAAAAGGAGGGAAUUUUACCACAACACGAGUUGCAACCAAACCUUGAUAUUGAUAAUCCUACCGCCGCUGCCAACGCCGCGCCACUGUAAAGUACACCGGAUCUGGGAGGGUGGUGGGAUUUUACCGCUAAAGCAAGGUGCUUCAGCAACCACUUUCCUCACCAGACAUGUACCCUAAAUUCACAGUCGCCUCCACCACCGGAGUCGUUGAAGGGCAAUUGGCCGCACUUCAUUAGUUUGGGGGAAAAGGAGUACAACAUGGAAAAAGAAAUAUAAACUCCUCGCCAGAGAGGAGCCACCGGGGUCGUAUCGCCACCGGGAUCAGGGUAGAGAAAGAUGAUUUCACACCGCCUCCAACUCCUUCUUGGCGCCCUGAUCCAACUCGCCGCCGAGGAUUUAAUCUAGCUGCGGAUAGCAAUUGUUAGGACCAUAGGUUCUGACGGACUAAUAUUCAUAGAAACACUCGAAAUUCAGGGAACUAGCACAUUCAUAUCUUGAUUGUAGAGGCAAAAUAGUUGGGGUUUCGAUACAAGUGUGACCAACCGGGAACACCGGUGGCUAGGGUUUACCCCAAAGAGAUAAGGAUGAGCAUGCACGCUCCAAAAUGGGGAUUAUAUGGCCUCACAAUCAUCUGGUAGAAGGAACUAGAAACACACAUGGAGAUGGGGAAGAAUUGGGAGCUUUACAAAGAGCAACAACACCUCGACCACUAGGAGUCGUCCGAUGGUUGAUCAACGCUCGGAGUUGGAUGCGACUUACCAAAGCGGUACGCAUCAACUAGGGGCGUUAAAUGGACGAUCGAUGGCCCAUGACUCUUUGCACCACAAGAGAGACAUUUGAGUUAACUGAAAUUGAUACACAACGUUAGUACUCUUGACAUAGGAACACGUCACGUGUACCCUCAACGUCGGGGGUGAUGCACCGCAGCUCACGUCGAAGGAGAUCCGACCGACAGCGCGAUUCACAAGAAAGUCGACGGAUGCUUUUGAAGACCCGAAACCCCACAUGCCCGAGAGGGACCCCGUCAAGGAGUGCGGUGGCUAUGGGCUGCCCUAGGUCGGUUAGCCCACCCCAAGAACCUCAAGGAUCGCUGCUCUCCAAUACGAAGAACGAGCUAAGAACGGGAGAGAAAGAACAAGGGAGAGAUGUAAAAACUAGGGCAAAAAGUAGUAGAUUGAUUUGUUCGAUUGUGUGUUGUUCAAUAGGCCGUCACCUCUCACAUAUAUAUGAGGCGGCUGGACUUCCCGUACAAGAAAAGGACUAAAAAUCCUGUCCAAAACGUCGAAAACCCUAACUUAACUCGGACAAGAAACUUUAGCAAUUUUCCGGAUCAACUCGGAGCCACCAAGUGAUUUUUCUUGGUCCCAUCGAGUUANNNNNNNNNNNNNNNNNNNNNNNNNNNNNNNNNNNNNNNNNNNNNNNNNNNNNNNNNNNNNNNNNNNNNNNNNNNNNNNNNNNNNNNNNNNNNNNNNNNNGUUACAAGCAAGACAAGACAGCAACAAAUAUAACAGAUUCCAGACUUAGAAAUAUUCAGCUCCUCCAAAUCAGCACUAUUCUAGCAACUUGAGGGAAACCAAACCACACCUAAACAUGCAUUUCAUUGCAACUUAAAUAUACCAGGGCUAGAGUAAACACCCAAGAUCAACUCUCUAGUUGACAACUCCGUCAAACGAAACACGGAAUAAAUCCUACGAGUUAAACAAAAGGGCAUCACGGCAAAAUAUCACGCGAACUAAUUUACUCAAAAGCUAAAACUAAUUGCACAGAGAAAUACCAUGGAUUUUUCUACCCCGAACACAUAUAAAAUAUGUGGGGUUGCACAACAAUAUAAUUCCACACGAAAAUGCGAGAAAAAAUAACCUACACACGGGAAAAUAAACUACCGGCAAACCCUACAUGCAAAAAUACCAAUGACCGCUCUAAAAUACAUGGACAAAUGGUUCCUAAAACAUGGGCAUUUCUAAUAUGGCAUACGAGCAACCCGGUCUUGCGCGAAAAAUAAAUACGGGUCGAAAUCUAUUGGGACAGCACAUAAACCUAGGCAUUUGGCACGGCAAACCACGCAAACAAAUAUGCAAGUUGUGGAAUCGUGUUCUACUCGCAAAACUACCCCAAAACCAUAUAAGAUACGCCUCGUUCCGACUUACGGAUUAAAAGAUACGCGCGUUUUUAAUAUCGUCAUAUUUUCUGGAAUUUAAUUAUAUUGCAAAAAUAAGAAAAAUUCUAACGGGCCGAAUCUACACAUGGGCCAGUGGGAAACACACUAAAUAUCACCCGGGGCGAGGGAUAGGUGCUGGAGCUCACCUUGGGGGGAGCCUCUUGGGCCGGUUGGGAGGCUGCAGCAAGAUGGGCCGGCGGGGGAGCAGUGGGCCGAGGCGGUAGGCCGAGCUGGCGCAGGCGAGUAGCCACGCGCUGAUGGGCCGGCUCGGGGACCUCCUGGCGAGGCCCAGCUGGGGGCCAAGCGACGCGCUCGGGAGGUCGUCGUCCUCCUCGCCCUAGAGAAGGAGCAGCGCCGACGAGGUCCCUGGACCGGGCGGAGAGGCCGGGGAACGGAGGGAGAAGCCGGAUCCACGACGGGGAUCGCCGGAUCCGUCCCUUCCCGGUGGCGGCUGGGGCACAAGGCGGCGCUGGGGCGCGCGGAACAAGGCGGCGACGAGCUCCUUCUCGGCUCCUACGAGGUCAACGAGGGAGAGAGAUAAGAGGGAGAGGAACCGGCGGGGAAGAGAGAGAGAGCAUGCAGCGGCGCUGGCCUUUGGGAGCUGCUCGCCGGCGGCGACGCUCCGGCUAGAUUCGGGCCCUGGCUGCGGCGGCUUCGACGGGGAGAGGCGAGGGGAGGCUCAGGAGGCUGCCUCGACGGGAGCAGGGAGGCUGCGGUGGCGGAUGGGCUUCGGCGGGCCACGCGCGGGCUCGGGCUGGCCCGGCGGCUGGUGGGAGGAGGUGCUGCGGGGGGAGAGAGAAAGCCUAGGGUUUGCACGCUUUUCAACGCAAAGGAGGGGCUGUGUGAAAAUAAGCACACGGGGUCUAUUUAUAGGCAAAGGGGGGGGCUAGGUUAACCGAGAUCGCGUUCCGGAUCCAACCGCGGGGUCGGNNNNNNNNNNNNNNNNNNNNNNNNNNNNNNNNNNNNNNNNNNNNNNNNNNNNNNNNNNNNNNNNNNNNNNNNNNNNNNNNNNNNNNNNNNNNNNNNNNNNUCUAGUAAUGACUCUGACGGCAUUGUCAUUCAGCUCAUUGAGCAAGUCAUUCUGAGCUUUAAGUACUUGUUCUACCUGAGUAGUAACCAUAGAGGCAUGUUUACUCAGAAGCUUAAGAUCGUUGACGUUUCUGUCCACACAAGCACUUAAAUGACUAAGCAUACGAGCAUUCUUUUCCAAUUGUCUGCUAACAUAAUCAUUGAAACUCUGUUGUUUGGCAACAAAGUUAUCAAAUUCAUCCAUGCAUAGGCUAGCAGGUUUAUCAAAAGGAAUAUCACUCUCAUCAAACCUACGCGGAGAAUUUACUUCUACAACCUGUAUCGGGUUAUCGAGACCAUGGAUCUCUUUGAUAGGUGGUAGAUUUUUGACAUCUUCAGAUUUAAUGCCUUUCUCUCGCAUAGAUUUCUUGGCUUCUUGCAUAUCUUCAGGACUGAGGAAUAGAAUACCUCUUUUCUUCGGAGUUGGCUUAGGAGGUGGUUUGGGAAUAGUCCAAGCAUUCUCAUUGCACAAGAUGUUAUUCAGUAGAAUCUCAACUUGUUCUACAGUCCGUUCCCUAAAAAACACAACCGACACAACUAUCUAGGUGGUCUUUGGAAGCAUCGGUAAGUCCAUUAUAGAAGAUAUCAAGUAUCUCAUUCUUCUCAAGAGGGUGAUCAGGCAAAGCAUUCAGUCGCUGGGUAAGCCUCCCCCAAGCUUGUGGGAGAUCUCUUCCUCAUCUUGAGCAAAGUUGUAUAUUUUCUGCAAGGCAGCUUGCUUCUUAUGGCAGGGAAAUAUUUUUCAGAGAAGUCGUAGACCAUAUCCUGGGGGCUACGCACACAACCAGGAGUAAGAGAAGUGAACCAUGUCUUAGCAUCAUCCUUAGCGAGAAAGGAAACAGUUUGAGCAUAUAGUAGUGGUGGAUCUUUUCCUCACUAGUGAAUAGGUUGGCUAUAUCGUGCAGUUUGGUAAGAUGGGCGACAACCGUUUCAGACUCAUAACCGCGAAAAGGAUCAGAUUCGACUAGAGUGAUUAACUCAGGGUCGACAGAGAAUUCAUAAUCCUUAUCGGUCACAAAGAUAGGCGAAGUGGCAAACAUCGGGUCGUAUUUCAUCCUAGCGUUUAGAGAUUUUUCUUUCCACUUGCGUAGAAGUUUCUCAACAUCAUAGCUAUCCUUACACGCAAGAAAAUCCUCGUAUCAGCAGUUUCAGAAGUAUCAUCACGUCUAGCAGCAACUCUAGCAAUUUGUGCAUCAAGGGCACCUAAUGGCAAAGCAGUAUCAGGCAUAUCAGGCAUAGUAUCAAGCAUAGCAUCAUCAGGCAUAGUAUCAAGCAUAGCAUCAUCAGGCAUAGUAUCAAGCAUAGCAUCAUUAGGCAUAGUAUCAAGUAUAGGAUCAUCAGGCAUAGUAUCAAGCAUAGCAUCAUCAGGUAUAGUAUCAAGCAUAGCAUCAUGGCAGCAGAAGUAGCAUCAUCAAGCACAAGUGACAUAUCAAGAUUUCUAGCAGGAGGUGAAGUCGCAAACUUACUCAAAACUGAAGGUGAAUCAAGUGCAGAGCUAGAUGGCAGUUCCUUACCUCUCCUCGUAGUGGAAGUGGAACUUUAGUUCUUGGAUCUUUUGGAUUCCUCAUAGUGAUCAGCNNNNNNNNNNNNNNNNNNNNNNNNNNNNNNNNNNNNNNNNNNNNNNNNNNNNNNNNNNNNNNNNNNNNNNNNNNNNNNNNNNNNNNNNNNNNNNNNNNNNAAAACGAUGCAAAAACAUAUAAAGAACGUUACGAACGGAGCUACAGAUGAACCGGAAACUACGAAACAAGAACUGGAGUCCCACAGAUCAAAUCUACCACAAGCACUCUCCAAUAGCAUACUUCUGGUAUUCCCAGGUUGCCAAAUGAUCAAACAAACAAACAUAGAUGGGGUGGUGCAAAGAAUCUCACCACACUAUCAACUAUGCACACACAAGCAUCAAAUCAACAAAACUAUACAAUGUGUCCUAAACAACAACAUAGCAGUUUGAAAGCAACAUGCAAAGCACCUACAGCCACCCAAAUGUGCCAAAUAAGAUAUGUGGCAAAAGCUAUUCAACAGCUCUACAAGCAUGAGUAAAAAGAUAAUACAAAGGAGUUACACACAAAAAGAUCUACACCUGCUAACUUGGCCAAAAAUAUCAGUUUUCAGGGACUUAGUGGAAUUCUCAGACUUUCACCGGGUGUUUAUGCUCUGAAGCAUUUUGACAGCACCCAAAUCCAUAUCUACAGGAAGCGAAAUGGAAAUAAAAUUGGCGGAGAGCUAGACAAACACAAAAUCUACAACUCUCUAGUUGAUUGCAAGGGCUGAUUCCCAACAUAUGAACUUUUGCAACCACAACUACAAGGGAAGAAAAUAUCAGCAGAUUUUCAGACUUAGUGAAAAUCACAACUGACAAUUUCAGCCACAUGCCUACUUUGACAAGACACAACUUGCACAUACAAACUCCUAAUCAUAAAACAAAACCACCAUGCUGUAGAGGGGUUCACCCACUACUGCCACAACAAGGAAUCAUCCUCUUGGGCUCAUCCCAUCUCAUAGAACCAAGCUCUAAACAAAGCAUCAAACAGAAAAAUGACUUUUCCAGAAAGUGUUCCAAAGGAAAAUCUGAUUCCACCAAUGGAUUCCUGGGAAGAUUCUACCCCCAAAAAACAUAUAUAAUACCUAGGUACUUGCAUAGAACAAAUAGGCACAAAGCUAAGAUGAAAAUUCUACAUGGAAUCACAAAGAUGCAAAUAGUGCCAUAUCAUACAUGUUGCUCACUAGAUCAUCACCUACUCAUGCACUUGCACACACUCACAACUCCAAUGGUGACAUGAGGGUUUAGACCUCAUGUAUGUGUGCCAUAGCACAUCACAAUACACACACAUACCUCAAGCAUACACACACUCACAUACAUAUGCUAWUCUAAAACACACACAUCAACUACCACUAUUUCACACACAUACAAGCUUGCAACACAAGAGCUCACUAAGGCUAUGCCAUGUCUUGGGCAUGUGGGUGUCACACACACACAUGCACCACAUGGAUACAUACACACCCACAUACACAUGGGUGCUUGCUCACUCACAAGCACACCUCUCAUGCAUAUGCACUAGUGCACAUGUGCACAAGCACACACAAACACACAUGGUGACAUACAUGUACACAACACUUGGGUGCUUGCACAACACAAGCACACACUCUCAUAC
RNAcentral lists this long non-coding RNA (31188 nucleotides) under Hordeum vulgare. RNAcentral describes it as "long non-coding RNA (HVUL_LNC008237)". The record is from RNAcentral. Lineage: Eukaryota; Viridiplantae; Streptophyta; Magnoliopsida; Poales; Poaceae.